RNAcentral lists this ribosomal RNA (389 nucleotides) under uncultured eukaryote. RNAcentral describes it as "partial 18S ribosomal RNA". It matches the Rfam family "Eukaryotic small subunit ribosomal RNA", at positions 592 to 976 of the family's 1831-position model. The record is from RNAcentral.
CAAUAGCGUAUAUUAAAGUUGUUGCAGUUAAAAAGCUCGUAGUUGGAUUUCUGGUGGGGGUCGCUGGUCCGCUGCGAAAGCGGCGUGUACCGAUGCGUACCUACCGCCAUCCUCGGGGGGACUGCGUGUGGGAUUAGUUUCUCGUGCGUAUGGACGCCCGUCUUUUACUGUGAAAAAAUUAGAGUGUUCAAAGCAGGCUGAGGCCGUUGAAUACAUUAGCAUGGAAUAAUAAGAUAGGACCUUGGCGGUCUACUUUGUUGGUUUGCACGCCAAGGUAAUGAUUAAUAGGGAUAGUUGGGGGUAUUCGUAUUCAAUUGUCAGAGGUGAAAUUCUUAGAUUUAUGGAAGACGAACUACUGCGAAAGCAUUUACCAAGGAUGUUUUCACUAA